UACGAAGGGGGCGAGCGUUGUUCGGAUUUACUGGGCGUAAAGGGCGCGCAGGCGGCGAUCUUUGUCAGGCGUGAAAGCCCCGGGCUUAACCUGGGAACUGCGCUUGGGACGGGAUUGCUGGAGACCGGGAGAGGAGAGUGGAAUUCCCAGUGUAGAGGUGAAAUUCGUAGAUAUUGGGAAGAACACCGGUGGCGAAGGCGGCUACCUGGACCGGUACUGACGCUGAUGCGCGAAAGCGUGGGGAGCAAACGGG
Molecule: ribosomal RNA, 253 nt
Filed under: uncultured bacterium
Lineage: Bacteria
Description: partial 16S ribosomal RNA
Rfam family: Bacterial small subunit ribosomal RNA
Source: RNAcentral